Molecule: long non-coding RNA, 5316 nt
Filed under: Sus scrofa (pig)
Lineage: Eukaryota; Metazoa; Chordata; Mammalia; Artiodactyla; Suidae
Description: lncRNA (ENSSSCG00025039547.1)
Source: RNAcentral
UAUUUAAUGGUAGAAGUAAUCGUUAAACAAUUGAGAAUAUUGGUGAGAAUAUUGGAAAAAUGGAAAGAGUUUAAUAUAUUUUGUCCUGGAAUGUAAAAUAAUAUUAUUUCUUUAAAAUAGGAGGUGGAAAGGGGAUAUGGGUGGUUAGCAGAGGAAGCACAUUUGUAAGUAAAAGAAAGUAUCUCCUAAACCUAGGGUAUAAGACUCUCUAAGGUGAUAAGGAAAGAAAGAAAAGAAAGAGAGAAAGAAAGACAAAAAGAAAGAAGAAAGAAACAAAGAAGGAAAGAAAGAAAGAGAGAAAGAAGAAAGGAAGGAAGAAAGGAAGGAAGGAAGGAAGGAAGGCAGGAAGGAAGGAAAGAGAAAGAAAGAAGAAAGAAAAAGAAAGGAAGAAAGGAAGAAAGGAAGAAAGGAAGGAAGGAAGGAAGGAAGGAAGAAAGAAAGAAAGAAAGAAAGAAAGAAAGAAAGAAAAAAAGAAAGAAAAAGAAAGAAAGAAACGGAGAAAGGAAGGAAGGAAAGAAAGGAAGAAAGAAACAAAGAAGGAAGGAAGAAAGGAAAGAAAGAAAGAAAGAAAGAAAGAAAGAAAGAGAAAGAAGAAAGGAAGGAAGAAAGAAAGAGAAAGAAGAAAGGAAGGAAGGAAGGAAGGAAGGAAAGAAAGAAAGAAAGAAGAAAAAGAAAGGAAGAAAGGAAGAAAGAAAGAAACAAAGAAAGAAAGAAAGAAAGAAAAAGAAAGAAAGAAAGGAAGGAAGGAAAGAAAGAGAAAGAAAGAAGAAAGAAAAAGAAAGGAAGAAAGGAAGAAAGAAAGGAAGAAAGAAAGAAAGAAAGAAAGAAAGAAAGAAAGAAAGAAAGAAAGAAAGAAAGAAAAAGAAAGGGAGAAAGGAAGGAAGGAAAGAAAGAAAGAAAAGAAAAGGACAAAACUCAGCCUCUUUGAAUCAAAGCAUGAUAAAUCCUAACAGAGUUUUGCAUCUUACCCCACUGUGUGCAUACUUCUGCUAACAAGGCCUUACAAAAGGAGCACUCUGGCCAGUGAGGAGAUAUUCCGAAUUCAGAACCACGAUGAUCUCAUCGAGUCUCAAGGAUCUAAAUACAACCUGUACCCUAACUCGCAGGAUCACAUCAUUAUUCUUCCUGCCCCUCUGCUCUCCAUGCAGCACUCAGAUUUCUGCUCCUGGACACUGAGCGAGAUCGUGUCGGUACAAGUACAACCUUCUGAAGUCCUCCUGAGGCCCCGCACAGCCUGCCCCGGGCGCCUGCCAGAGCUCCUCUGCACCCUGCUGACUCCUGGUACUCUGAACCUCUGUCUUGCUCUUCCUUUCUCCUGACCGCUCUUCUCCCAGGGGGCAUAGCCCUCACCUCCUCACCUAUGCCGCCCCUUCAGGCCCUAUUUAAAGCUGAACCCCCCACUUCCUCCUCCUCAGCACGUUGAAUGUUUACCUAUAGCAUGCGUUACGGUCAGAAACACUUGAGUAUAUUUUAUAGAAUGGCCUUGUUUAUUCCCAGUCCUCCCCCUUUAAAGGUGUGCUCCAAGGGGCCACAGGUAAUUGCUUUCCACUGUGUUUCCAGCUGAAUUUCCCCAGGCUUAAAACAGUGCCUGACAUGUGAGGUGCUGAAAAAUAUGUACUGAAUGAAUAUGGAAUUGAAUCCAUAUUUAUUGAUCAUUGUACCCAUCCCCAUUUACCCACCAUUACUGGAUUCAGCUUGUGGGGGGGAAAGAGUGGCUCGUGUUGCAUCCAAGGGCAGAACUGGGUCAAGUCAGGAGGCAACCGCAGCCUGGGGGGCCAUGAUUAGCGAAAAUGGCAAAAGGCUGGGAAAUCACUGGGUUUUGCUGGAGGAUGGGGAAAGGGCCUGGGGACAUCUGAAGUAGAAGAUUCCAGACGGCUUCUUUAGGCUGCAGGGGCCCGAAAGAAGAGGACAUGGAAGGCAUCGGAGAAAGGUCCUGAAACAAGCUCCAAAGAAGCGCAAGACAGGCUGCUACCCUGCUGACAGGCUGCCCCACGAUGUGCCGAUUCACUAUUUUUUAAAAUCCGUGGACCUCUCCUUCUCUGUCUAGAGACUCUAAGUUGCCGAGGUUUACCUCCUGUGUUCACAGCAUCAUGUCAAACUAUUCACGCCACAGUUUUGUCUAGUAUUCACUCCAAUAGCUUUCCACUAUCCUAGUGGACAGAGGGUUUUGGCAAUUUGCUGCUUAUUUUUCAGUGGGGAAAUAACCUGCUCUUCCUUUUCCUCAUUAGCAAAGAGCUCACCUCCCCAGGGAGACUGUAUUUGGAACUUUGCCAGAUGCCAUGGUGCCUGGCCUUUCAGAGUCAAUAUAAUGCAGUCACAUUUUGAAAUUUGGCAAAAGCUUGAAAACAACACUUAAAACUAAAAAACAUACACAAACACAAAGCAACAAAGUAUCUUUACAAGUGCAGAGUGCAGUGCUUGCUUCUCUUCAUAAACUGUUACAUAAAUAGAAGUAAAGCUGGGGACUGCAUCUACAUUCUUAAUGCAAGAAGUACUCUGUGUUUGAGUUGGAUAAGCAAAUGUGUCAUAUACAGAAAAAUAGCACAAAUGUGUCAGAAUGUGACCAAGCACAGAGGUUGGCCACGCCCACUACACCUGUCUUCUUUGGGAGAUUUACGAGACAACUCAGAAAAGGGGAAAACAUAGGUUUUCCUUAUACUUGCACUUCUUCCAGAAGAGAUGCUCAUUAUUGCUUUUAAAAAAAUCUUAAAAUUCUAGUUAUAAUAAGGAAAACAGUUGACCCUCUGUAUCUGCAGGUUUCUCAUCCAUGGAUUCAACCAACCACCAAUAGAAAAUAUUCCACAAAAAGGGAGUUCUCAUCGUGGCGUAGAGGAAACGAAUCUGACUAGGAACCAUGACGCUGAGGAUUCGCUCCGCAACCUCGCUCAGUGGGUUAAGGAUCUGUCAUUGUCUUGAGCUGUGGUGUAGGUUCAGUCCUUGACCUAGGAACUUCCAUAAUGGUGUAUGGCAUGGGUGCGGCCAAAAAAAAAAAAAAAAAACUAGUUCAAUGCCUUUGCCAAAGUCAGAGGUGGAAUUGGAGUUCAAGCCCAGUUUGUAUGACUCUUUCUCAAAAACCCUGUACACCUUACAUUGAUGGUGCUUUUGAGUGUUCUAGUGAAAGGUUUUCUGCUAAACGUUCUACCAAAAUCCUCAACAAAUACUAUGAAGAGCGGUUUCCUGCUAACCAUUAAGAGAUGAAGACUAAGCAGAAUGUUGUAGCUAUGUUUGGCUUUUGGAUACCUUUUUGUUUCAAUGUAUCUAUGGAGCAAAUAUUCUAUGAAACACAAUUUCUUAAUUAUUAUAUUAAUUGUGUCUUUAUAAGUACUGUGACUAUACCAUAUGUCAUUAAAAUUGCUCAUUGAAUAAAAACAAACAAAGAAACAAAAACCCAUGUUAACAACCUUACCCCAACUCAGGCACUGUGAACCCCCAUUAGGGAGAAGAGAGAAAAGCAUACUCUCUACCAUCAGGGCCCAUGAGAAAAACCUUAGUAGUCAAACAUUUACCUGCUUCUGCUUUGCUGAAGCCCUUCCUAUGACUGCCGCCAGAAAGCUCUAAGAUAACAACUUCAGGUAGGGAGCUUCUGAAAAUACAGAUCCCACCCCACUCCUGUGCCUCUUCCCAAGUAGUUUUAUUUGGUAGAUCUAGAGUGGGUCUAGAAAUCUGUUCUUUAAAGUUUCAAAAUGAUUCUGAUUCUCUGCCAAAUUUGGAAGCCAUGAUAAUGUUGACCAAAAGUUGGAGAUUCACAGGUCAUUCCAAACUUUAAUUAUUCUCUGCUGGUUGUUACUAAAUCCCACGAUCUAAGUUAGGGCUGGACAUGCACCCAUUCAGACUGCAGAGGUAACCGAGGCCCCAGAAGCACUCUCCCUGUUUGAACUCAUUGAAAGUGUUUUAUCUAAAACAAGGGUGCUAGACAUUGAUGUGAUUAGAGUAGAGCUGCUAAGCUGUGACUGAACUUGAACGCAAAAUUCCAGGAGUUUAUCUGAAUUUGAAAAACUCCGGAAUUAAUCUCCAAAUGGGCUCAUGGUCCAGGGACAUUAUUUAGCUAUAGGCUUUCUGUUAUUCCUGAUAUACACCAAGUUAUUCUGUGUCUUUGUGGAAGGUAGUCCGAGGAGGCUCAAUUCAUAAAAUAGCAAACUUGGCCUCCCACAUGGUGGAAGCAAAGGUAAUAAUGUACAUUAAAUAAACUUAAACUGUUAUUAUUGCAAAUGUCAAGUUCAUUACAGCAUAUGUUUCAACUGAAAAUCACUACCCAUUAAAAUCAAACAACCAAAAUGCCCUAAACUCACCAUUUGAUUUAAUGUGUCAACUUCAAUGCUCAGGAGCGUCAAUCAGAACUACCUUCUGUGUAAUUGUCACAGGGUUGUUAUGUAACAAAGAAUCAGGUUUCAAUUACUAUCACCUGCUAAUCAUGAUAAUUAAUAAAAUGUGAAUGAAGCAUUAAUAAGUGACAGAGGCUAUAAAAUAUACUAAAAAAUACUUGCAGUUUUGUGCAUAUUGCUGGAGGAAUUAUUCCAACUUCAAAAAUAUAUGGCAUUACUAUAAUAAAAAUUAUUCACAAUUGGUAAAAAUAAAUAAAUAAAUAAAUAAAGAUGACUAAGUGAUGUGGUAACCUCACACUAAAGCAUGAGCCCAAUAAAUGUCCUCUCACUCUCCAGGGAAAUGUGACUUUGUUGACAUAUUUUUGUGUUCAUUAGGGUCCAGAUAUUGCAUACCUCUUAAAAGCAGGGUUCCUAUUUUUUAAAAAGACAAAAUGAUGUAAUUUACAUUUUUGUCAGGUUGAAAAGAUAACCUAAAGUUUACAAAGUAGGGUAUUAGCCAGCAUGGGAUCUAACUAGCCAGCAUUAUUUCAACAUUCCUUUUUUUUUUUUUUUUUUUGCUGCAAAUAUUUAUAAUAAAAAUUAUGUAUUACACACACAAACUUAGAUUAAAAUAACAAGAUGUGAGAAACAUCUCACUUGAUAGAAAUACAUUAGGUUUUAUUAAAACCUGAGCAAGAUACAGCAAAAAUUUUGUUUCAUGCUGUUAUUAUCUAUAAAUUAUGAUUCAAAAUGGUUUAAUUUCAGUAUAUUAGAAAAUUUUUAAAAAGGAUUAUCAAGCUACAUUUAUCAGGAAUCGAUCUUAGGCAGAUGAUAUAAGAGAAAGUAAAACAAUGUAAUAUUAACUGAAACAGGUACCUACCAAGUUUUCGAUUGCCCAAAAAAAAGGCUUUGGAAACUUAUCACGAUGUUCAUUACCAUAAGUAUGCACUAUUUUUACAUAAAAAAAUCUUUUUUCCAACACUUUUUGAAAAUUUCAAAUGUACAGAAACGUUAA